GCCCACUUUUGUUCGCAGUCAUAUGACGUCACGUACGUCAGUCGACGUGAGCUGCAUGAAGGUAUUUCGGUGACGGUCCUCCGCUGCGCGAGCGUGACUCGUGCUUCAGUGAGGACAUCAGCCAGAGGAUGCGCGUGCCCGAUCGCCUGAGGGUCGGUCCAGCGCGUCACGCGCACGCACCUGCUGACCAAAGAUCCGAAGAGCUACCUGCUGCCUACAGCAUGCACAUACCAGACAGACUGUCCUUAACAGAUACUCCUGAUCUGAGUCCACGACCUCUCUUCACUAAACACACUUCAUCAAUGUGGGACCUGCAGCACGGGUCCUGGGACAGGGAGGCGUUCAUGAGAGAGCCUGUCCAGAGUCCACUGCGAAGAUCUUAUAGUGACCAGGCUAUUGGUCGAACCCCACCUGGAACCCCCACACACUCCAGACAAACACUUCGCUCCCAGUCUCCCCACAGUAUUGGACGCCCACCCGUCAUGCUUACAGACUCAUCCCCACCAAAGUCCCCAGGGCACCCCGCCAUCCCACCCAACCUGCUGUCCCCACAGAGCAUGCUGCAGGCCGCCAAGGAGCUGGGCCAGCAGGCGUCUCAGAAACUCCUCCAGACCGUAACCAAAAAAUACUCCUCCAGUGCCUCGCAGGAGUUCUGGCUCAGUCCUGAGGAGGACACAGGUACUGCUGUCGAGUUCAUGGUGCUCCGCAGACAGGUGGUGAAGAUGAGCAGGAGGAUAGCAGGGGUGGAGAGACAGAACGCAGAGCACAAACAGACAGAGCUGGUGCUGUUCUCUCUGUUACUGUCUGCCUGUCUGAUCAACGGCUGGCUGUGGAUGCGCAGAUGACGGAUCACACUCCAUAACACUACACUAUACAGACAGCACUACAAGAGCAACAGAGCUGUUUACCGGGAAGUGCAUAACUGCACAUAGUUUUUAUAGUGCUUUACUAAAUUUGUUCUCUACAAAAUGAUGGUAAAUGGAUGGUUUAGAAACCACUCCUAUAGAGGAUUGUCAUCAGAAUGAGGCAUGAAUGUCUGAACCAUCCACUCGUAUGUGUCGUGAUCACGGUAGUGACAUGGGCUACUUUGUGUUACAAGUGAUUUGAGGAACUUGAGCAUGUUUUUCUCCUCGUGAGAGUUUCACUGAUGAUGUCAUUCAGUAAUGCAGUCUCUCUGGCUCUUUUGAUCAGACUAGUAGCUAGGUUUUGUAUUUGAUUUAUUCUGCAAAUUAAGUAAAUGCAAAAAUAGAUUUCCUGCAUGCUUUACAAGCCUCACAGCUAAGUAUUUAAGAAAGUAUAAAUAUGAGUAUUUAUUUAUAUUUCCUUUUUUUCUACCAAUUGGGCAUUUGAAUAGCCUUCAGCCAUUUUAACUCACUUGCCCAGCCUGAUGUAUGAUGAAUAUUUAAAAUAAUAAAAAUUGUAAUUAGUCUCAGAUGUCUCAUUCUCUUA
This 1449-nucleotide long non-coding RNA is filed under the name Sinocyclocheilus anshuiensis. RNAcentral describes it as "lncRNA (ENSSANG00000042479.1)". Lineage: Eukaryota; Metazoa; Chordata; Actinopteri; Cypriniformes; Cyprinidae. The record is from RNAcentral.